Daphnia pulex (common water flea) is the source of this 2355-nucleotide RNA transcript. RefSeq lists it as uncharacterized. The record is from RefSeq and is a predicted model, not a curated record. The transcript has 6 exons. NCBI's taxonomy places the organism in Eukaryota, Metazoa, Arthropoda, Branchiopoda, Diplostraca, Daphniidae.
UCUAUCGCCAAAGACCUGUUUCCUGACCCAACCCAACCCACACCAACAGAUGGCGUUGUUCCUCUCAGUGAGAUAGGAAAGUUGUUUAUUUCAUUAAUGUUUUAUACGUUUUUUUUCUUAGAGUUAAACAAUUAGGAAAUUAUGAUCAUCUUGUGCAAGACAAGGUUUUACAUGGAGCCGUCGCAUUUAGAUUUUUAUAUUGCGACGAAAUCAUAAUUAUAUACUCGAAUUUGUGUUUUCGUGUUUUUCUAAACUGCCGUUAGAUGGUUCUGACGCAUUGCUAUAAGGCCGUGCUAUAUAAACACAGCCUAUUAUCUAGUCAACUCGGUCUACUGUUUUCCAUUUGCAGUCUUCAUUCGAAAGUGAAGUAAUGGUAUUCUCUUCCACAUCAACCAGCGGCCAUCAAUGGCUCAGAAUAAAAUUACAGGAAUGACCAACAACAGUGAAGAACAACAGACCUCAUCUUCCACCAAGGAGACCAUCAUAGAGGUGAUAAUUCAGCCACCAACUACAGAGGCCAAGGUUGAAUCUGAUGCUCCCCCCCGCUGUGAUCACCACUCAGCCAGCACAGCCAAUGCCUGAACACGAUGACAGCAUUGCUGUGGUCAUGUGGGAAGCCACCGUUUCAAUACCACAUUGGUUAAAGAAAAGGGGAACUGUUCUUGAAGACUGCCUAAUGUUUUGUGUUGCAGAAUCAAAUUACAGAAAUGACCAACAACAGUGAAGAACAACAGACCUCAUCUUCCACCGAGGAGAUCAUCAUAGAGGUGUUAAUUCAGCCACCAACUACAGAGGCCAAGGUUAAAUCUGAUGCUCCCCCCCGCUGUGAUCACCACUCAGCCAGCACAGCCAAUGCCUGAACAAGAUGACAGCAUUGCUGUGGUCAUGUGGGAAGCCACCGUUACUGGUCGACGCCUCAUCGACGAGAUGGUCAACCUGGGAUCAUUCCACGUGGCACAGGAAGAGAAAGCAGAAGGGCACGAUUUCAACGAGUACGUCAUGCCAUAUGGCAAGCUACCGCUGAAUGUAAUUCGCAACUACAAUCUUCGCAUCGUUGACACGGGUCGUUACCGCAUGCUCAAGGAGAUCCGCAACAAAAGAAUGCUCAAGUCCAAGAGCGAGGUGGCCGCCUGCAACGAUUUCGCCUCGUGGCUCAUCAAGCUCCAAAAAUAUAAUUUCACCGACAAGAAAAUUGUCUUAGUCUUCUUUGAACCACGCCACUCCCAAGAUCCUUCAGCUCUUCCAGCUUUGGAACGUUACCGUCUUCUAGAUGAUGUCAACAAGAUUUUGCUUGGAUGUGUUAAUGGCUGGGAUCUGCUCCGUCAACAAGUGCAUGAUUUGAAGGAUGAACAUCGCAUGGUCCUUAAAGCUUUGGCUGAUCACCACCUUGGAGUCGACACACCUUUGGAGAGCGCUGUUCAACGUGCUCAAUCAAGCACUUCACAAGAUCCUUCGCAAGGUGCAUGGCGGCCGCAUCAACACUUAAGGAGAACCUCAUCAGUUGCGAUCAUUUGCUCGAACAAGUCAAGAAGAUCAAAGAAGAAUUGACUAAGGAGGCUCAAUGGAGACCUGUAUUCGCUGACAUGUUUCGUCAAGGUAUCAAGCCUCGCCGGCGAGCUGGAUUCCUCCGCGAUAUGCUCGUCGAGUCGGGCAUCACCUAUGCAGGCCUUACGGAAACAUUCAAGGACAAGAAAGAUGACGGUGUGGUCGAGGUCAUCAAAGAGAACAUCAAAGAGAACAUCAACGGCAAGAAUGAAGCCGACGUGGAGGAAGUCAUCAAGCUGCUGAAUCAACACCUUGCGCAGCCAGACAAGCCCGUCCGACGCGGUAGCGGCCGUCGAGCACCCCGCACUCGUUCCCUUUGCACCGCCAUGGACUUGGAGAAGCAGCAGCCUGCGUCCAAGAUCGAGCCCGAGGAAAACAACAACGACCCUGUCAAAGUGAUUAUGGAUGUUAUUCCCAGCACUCCUGCGGUCCUGUCCGAAGUUUAAAAAGUCCCUCUCUCCUCGACUCGCCUGAAAUUACUUACUGCCUCCCGCCCCACUUCCCUUUUGUUUUUCACUUAACUUGUCUCGUUUUUGAGAAAUUUUGAUCUUUUUUUAAGUUUACAAGUCUUUCACGAAACAAACUUGCUUGUCGCUUUUGGUUAUGCUUUUCUUCUUACUAGAGAUAACACUUGCAAAAUUUAUAAAUAUACCAGGGAGCUUUUUGGUAAUUGUUCUAGUCUUCUACUAAAAUCAAUCCAGGGUGUAGAUGUGCGAUGAAAUGGUCUCUGCAGUGCCUUUGCACUUUUGCAGUGCCUUUCAUACUUGUGAGUUGAUCUCAUGAAAUGGAAUACAAAAUACUCUGAGGAAA